RNAcentral lists this long non-coding RNA (1288 nucleotides) under Homo sapiens (human). Its description in RNAcentral is "non-protein coding lnc-PRAG1-7:5". The record is from RNAcentral. Lineage: Eukaryota; Metazoa; Chordata; Mammalia; Primates; Hominidae.
AAAAAAUUCUAUCAGAAAUUCCAUGUAGAAUUGCUUCUUUUUUUAAACACAGAGUUUGAACAACUGACUCUUCACGGACGCAACCUUCCUUCUCUUGUCUGUGUGAUAACAGGCAAAGGGCCUCUGAGGGAGUAUUACAGCCGCCUCAUCCACCAGAAGCAUUUCCAGCACAUCCAGGUCUGCACCCACUGGCUGGAGGGCCGAGGACUACCCCCGCUUCUAGGUGAGAGGCCAGCAGGAGGCUCAGGGAGGAGGCGGGGACUUAAGCAGGGGUAACAGGCAUGGGCAUGAUGUACUUUUUCUGAAAAGGUGGCUCUGGAGGCCACUUGGGGACAGGACUUGGGCUCUGGCUUAACUCCCAGGAGGAGGCUACUUCCUGGUGUGCCAGCCCCUCCCUGCCAGGUGGCCCCAGAGGCCCUUUACCAAGGGGUUUGAGGAGGCCACGUCCUUUCAGCCUGCCAUGCCCUCCAUUCAGUCCUCUUCCUUCCUGCAGGAGGCCUGGGCCUGGGGUUGGGGCCACUGUUGCCCAGGUGUGGGAGGGCAGUGGCUUUGGGAGGGGGUCGGGGGUCGCUUGGCCUCUGUGUGUCCUACUGUCUUUGUCGGUGAGAUGGGACAAUGACAGCACACCCUCACAGGUGCUGGGGGCUGACAAAUGUCAGGUCUGAGGACAGUGGGUGGCCCACUACGGGGCCAGUUCCCCUUCUCUAUAGUCACCCUGCUCGUCUUCCAUCAACUGGGUGCUCAAGACAGUGGAGUGGAGGAUCCGCCUGUACAGCCUGUGCUCCAGCGUCAUGCAGGCCACAGCUCUGUCCAGCCCUGACCCCGACUGCCCCUCCUGCCACCUCCAUUUUAUAGAUGAGGAAACCGAGGCCCAAGGGCUUAGGGAACCCUGCUCUGAAGCACACAGUAGGGCUGCUGGGCUCAGACCCUCCCUCCCUGUGCUGAGCUACCCUCCUCCUGCUGCAAGCCCCCAAUGCCCCGAGCCCACCCUGCUCACCGGCCUCUGCCCGAGUUCCCCUCAUGGUGUCGGAGUGUGGGGCAUCCUAGCUCUUCCCUGGUGCCCAGCUCUUUCACUUCCACUGGAGUCCUGCAGUGACAGCUCAGGGACAUACAGGCCCAGGCUGGGGUGGGGGCUCACCUAGCUCGGUGGUGAACAGCUGGCACGUCUCUCAAUUGCGGACAGCGAAGGCCACGUAGACCUCAGAAGCCCGCUGGUGCUCCCGGCAGGCAGCCAGCCUCCGCAGGACCCUGACCAGUGACACAAUGGCUUCUGGGCAAUACAGCACAU